GAGUUUGAUCAUGGCUCAGAUUGAACGCUGGCGGCAUGCCUUACACAUGCAAGUCGAACGGCAGCACGGGAGCUUGCUCCUGGUGGCGAGUGGCGAACGGGUGAGUAAUGCAUCGGAACGUAUCCUGGAGUGGGGGAUAACGUAGCGAAAGUUACGCUAAUACCGCAUAUUCUGUGAGCAGGAAAGCGGGGGACCUUCGGGCCUCGCGCUCUUGGAGCGGCCGAUGUCGGAUUAGCUAGUUGGUGAGGUAAAGGCUCACCAAGGCGACGAUCCGUAGCAGGUCUGAGAGGAUGAUCUGCCACACUGGAACUGAGACACGGUCCAGACUCCUACGGGAGGCAGCAGUGGGGAACUUUGGACAAUGGGGGCAACCCUGAUCCAGCCAUGCCGCGUGAGUGAAGAAGGCCU
This 408-nucleotide ribosomal RNA is filed under the name bacterium enrichment culture clone ALO1_GLFRUDD03GP8PZ. Its description in RNAcentral is "bacterial SSU rRNA". It matches the Rfam family "Bacterial small subunit ribosomal RNA", at positions 9 to 417 of the family's 1533-position model. The record is from RNAcentral.